UUGAACGCUGGCGGAAUGCUUUACACAUGCAAGUCGAACGGCAGCACGGGGGCAACCCUGGUGGCGAGUGGCGAACGGGUGAGUAAUACAUCGGAACGUGCCCGGUCGUGGGGGAUAACGUAGCGAAAGUUACGCUAAUACCGCAUACGAUCUGAGGAUGAAAGCGGGGGACCUUCGGGCCUCGCGCGAUCGGAGCGGCCGAUGUCAGAUUAGGUAGUUGGUGGGGUAAAGGCCUACCAAGCCGACGAUCUGUAGCUGGUCUGAGAGGACGACCAGCCACGCUGGGACUGAGACACGGCCCAGACUCCUACGGGAGGCAGCAGUGGGGAAUUUUGGACAAUGGGCGCAAGCCUGAUCCAGCCAUUCCGCGUGCAGGACGAAGGCCUUCGGGUUGUAAACUGCUUUUGUAUGGAACGAAAAGGCUCUGGCUAAUACCUGGGGCUCAUGACGGUACCGUAAGAAUAAGCACCGGCUAACUACGUG
Molecule: ribosomal RNA, 483 nt
Filed under: uncultured bacterium
Lineage: Bacteria
Description: partial 16S ribosomal RNA
Rfam family: Bacterial small subunit ribosomal RNA
Source: RNAcentral